Molecule: long non-coding RNA, 230 nt
Organism: Pungitius pungitius (ninespine stickleback)
Lineage: Eukaryota; Metazoa; Chordata; Actinopteri; Perciformes; Gasterosteidae
Exons: 3
Source: RefSeq, a predicted model, not a curated record
GGGCACGGAUGGUCUUGCCGCGAUGCUGGUCAUGAUGGCAUAUUUCAAGGAAGCAGACGAUGGCCUUUUUGUCCUAGCUGAUGCAACAACGACGCCUGCUGAUGCCGAGAUGGAAUGCUCACUUCCCACCACCCCGAGGCUCAUUGUGUUAGGAGAAACCGCAUGGUCUGCGAACCGGUGGAUGCUGUCGAUAGAAGGCCGUAUUGUGAUCGCACAUUCACCACCCAUAC